This is a transfer RNA of Podospora anserina, 90 nucleotides long. It matches the Rfam family "tRNA". Rfam says of the family: Transfer RNA (tRNA) molecules are approximately 80 nucleotides in length. Lineage: Eukaryota; Fungi; Ascomycota; Sordariomycetes; Sordariales; Podosporaceae. The record is from Rfam.
GCGGGUUUAGCUCAGUUGGGAGAGCGUCAGACUGAAGUCCACUUCAAUCAACAAAUCUGAAGGUCAUGUGUUCGAUCCACAUAAACCGCA